This 207-nucleotide ribosomal RNA is filed under the name uncultured bacterium. RNAcentral describes it as "partial 16S ribosomal RNA". It matches the Rfam family "Bacterial small subunit ribosomal RNA", at positions 568 to 774 of the family's 1533-position model. The record is from RNAcentral.
CGCGUAGGCGGCCUUCUAAGUCAGACGUGAAAUCCCCCGGCUUAACCUGGGAACUGCGUCUGAUACUGGGAGGCUUGAGUAUGGGAGAGGGAUGUAGAAUUCCAGGUGUAGCGGUGAAAUGCGUAGAUAUCUGGAGGAAUACCGGUGGCGAAGGCGGCAUCCUGGACCAUAACUGACGCUGAGGCGCGAAAGCUAGGGGAGCAAACG